AUCGGUGAAAACCACGUGAUCAUCCACGAGAGCGGUCCAGAGUCGCUGAGAUAACCAGAACUGCAGAUACCACAGACUCUGAGAUAACAUGGUGUGCAGCUGGAUGAACACAGCAGGUCAAGCAGCAUCAGAGGAGCAGGAAAGCUGACGUUUCGGGCCUAGCUCCUUCGCUGAGACCAAGAUUUGUGCAAUUGAGAUACCAGCGAUCGUUGCCAAAGCCCUGUUCCCUGUGGAGAAGGUGAUAUUUAACUUUCGUGUGCUGCUGCAGUUCGUAUGAUGAAGGUGCUCCCACAAUGCGGUCAUUUGAGAAGUUACAGAUCGGUCAUCAAGCGAUACUGAAGAGCUGAUGAAUAUUACAAGUGGACUUUCAGGUGGGAAGCUCAAUAAUUGUAACACGAAACUGACAGA
Long non-coding RNA from Stegostoma tigrinum, 408 nucleotides. RefSeq lists it as uncharacterized. NCBI's taxonomy places the organism in Eukaryota, Metazoa, Chordata, Chondrichthyes, Orectolobiformes, Stegostomatidae. The record is from RefSeq and is a predicted model, not a curated record. The transcript is spliced from 3 exons.